Long non-coding RNA from Helianthus annuus (common sunflower), 5186 nucleotides. RefSeq lists it as uncharacterized. NCBI's taxonomy places the organism in Eukaryota, Viridiplantae, Streptophyta, Magnoliopsida, Asterales, Asteraceae. The transcript has 4 exons. The record is from RefSeq and is a predicted model, not a curated record.
AAGUCAUAAUAUAAAAUUUUUAUAUUAUGUUGACGCAAUUAGAAAAGAAAAUGGUAAAUAUAAUUUUACCAUAUGAAAGUAAAUAAGAUACUAGUAAGUAUAUGUGGGUAAGUAAGAUAUUGUAAAUAACCAAGUUAACUAAGUUAGAGGAUGGAUGAAAAUAGUCAUGUUAUGAGAAAUAAAUGGGUUAGUUAUGUUAAAAAUGAAAGAAAGUUUGAUUAAACAAGGAAAAAAAAUGCAGAAUUUUCAUAAGUAAGUAGGUAUGUGUCGUGGGGUUGAAAGGGGAUUUAGGGUUCUCACCUAAAUCCAUCAUCAACACAAGAAUUCUGCAUAAAUUGGGGUGAUUUGAGCUGGAAAUCGAGUGCAUGAGACAUCAUCUACACUUGUCUAAGUGUCCUUGAGGUAAGGAACGUGUCAAGGAGAGCUCAAGCAUAGGAGGAUAACAGGUCAAGAUAAGGCAAGGUGACAAAUACACUUAUUGGAGUGCUCAAGGUCGCACGGACUCAACAUCAUUAUGAAGUAAAUGAGGAUUGAAGAUUGAGUCAAAGAGCGAGGAUUGUACGGGAAGGGUAGUCACAUAACUGGUGAUUUUAUAUUACAUUUGAUGCGAUAAUUAAGAAUGAACGUUGUAAAUCUUUUGAAGAAAGUGUUUGUUAUUUUUAAACGAACCUUCAAGUAAGUCAUAUGAGUAAUUAUGAAAGAAAUUUUAAGUCUCUACUUUCCGCUCUGUCUAUAUGGUUAAAUCGUGAUAUGGGUGUUUCAAGUUGGUAUCAGAGCCUAGGUUUGAGCGAAAUCAAGUACAAGGAAGUAAGUACUUGAACUCAAACCCGUGUGCUCAUGUGACUAGUAACCCGUACAAUUCGAGACUCGAUCAAGACUGGAAGGUAAAAUUUAAUACAAGUAAGUAUGUGAGAUGUUACUAACCAUGAUAAAUGUUGUAAGGUAAGCCUGCAUGGACAAUGAGGAUGUUACGCAGUCGCAGACUAGCAUGGAGAUAAGGCAAGUGCUAAGGCAAGCAAUGGACCUCAGGUACACAACUUUUAAGAAAAAUUUGUAAGUACCGGUAUUUAGUUUUCCUUUAAGGAUGAGAAUGAAACCCAAGAAGGACUUAAAUGAAUGGGGCACGAGCUGAAAACGGUUUCCCCGGAUAUAAGGUGACGAUUCCCAUGGUGACUCGAGACUAGUAUGUGGAUUGCGUACCUGGCCAGUGCGUAAGAAGCUUACGAAGCUCGAGAAAACAUGAGAAUCAUCACACAUAUGUCCGAUCAAACUAGUAAGUAGGGGUCGUGUGGGGAUGGAAAGGGGUCCAACGAUUCUUAAAGGAUCAGAUCAAAUGUAAGAAAGAAAUAUGAGAAUGAAAAGUUUAAGCUUAUGAAUGAAUGCAAACCAAACUUAAGAAAGAAGGGUAGAAACACCACUAGAAACAGAAUGUAGAGUGUCGCGUUGAGAUGCGACACAUGAAAUAGAAUGUGGAAUGUAGUGUUGGGACACAACACUCGAAGUUGAAGGUAGAAGAUGAUACGAAAACGUAUCAUAAGAAAUGAUAUGGAAAGUGAUGCGAUGAAAGAAAGAAAGGUACGGAUGAAAAAUGAUUGGAUCCGAGAAAUGGAUUCAAAAAUGAAGGGAAUGAAAGGUGUGAAUCCGUAAGUAAACACUGAUCAAACUAGAACGAAUGAAGAGUAAAGAGUGGAAGAUUUGAAUACGUAAAUAAAGAUAGAUUAAACAAGUAAGAAUGAAAGGUAGGAACAAAACUCAAACGAGUAAUAAUGGAAGGAUUGAAUCCGUAGGUGAAUACGGAUCAAGCAUGUAUGGCUAAAUAGCUUUAAAAUCCUUAAGUAUGAACUAAACUCGUGGAAGUAAAGAACCGGACCUAUAAAUAUGUAAGGAUCACGCAAGGGUGGAGGAGGAAAUGUGUUUCCUUUCCCAAGUAAGGUAGGUAUAAGCCUUGUAAAUAAGCAGUGACGGUAACCUUGACCGGUUAGAUAUGUUUCUCGACUAAAGUAAUGUAAUUGUAGUGCGUAUGUGAACACGUUUAGGAUAGACUAUAGCUAAACGAUAAAAUACAGGUAAGAAAGUAGUUACAAUUUGGAAAGUCAAAACGAGGUAUAAUCGUUUGUAUCAAAGUAAGUAGUAAUAAAUAAAAUAAAUAAAAUAAUAAUAGAAAGAAAGAGUUUGGUUCCUUGAGUAAGUAAGUAUGACCGAUGAAAACGGUUGUUAUGGCAAGCAGCUUUAGUUGUAGGAAACAAACCUUGGAUAAGUUACGUGGGAGGUAUGUUAGUAAUCGACUCAGGAGAGUCACAAUGAAUGGCGGGUUACAACCCGGAUAAAAUAUUUAAGUAUGAACGAGAAGGGCAAGUGUUUGCAAGAAACCCUACAAAUAAUGAAGCGAUAAAAUUGUAUGCAUGCUCGAAUUGAAGAGAAGUACAAACGUGUACUUCAAUACAUGUAUAUAUAAUAAGAAAGAAGUGGUAGUUUGACCUUGAAAAGUCAAACUGCAGAACUUGACAAAUAAUUAAUUAUAAGCCGUAGGAGUACUAGGGAAGAGAGGAAAGGUGUAAUGUAGUACGCCAAAUAAGUUAAAGAAUUGCGAAAGAAUGGUUAUGUAUUGACCCGUCGUGAACGGGUCAAUCAAUGAAAAAGAUACGUUAAGAAAUGGUCACGUAUUGACUCGUUUUGAACGGGUCAGGCACACUAAUGUUUUAAAAAGAAUCUAGAAAGGAUUAAUAUGUAAACAAGGUGAUGUAACAAACGUCAUGUUUGAAUGAAUUUGAAUGAAAUGUGCGUGUAUGAGUAAGAAGGAUGCAAUAAAACUCUAGGUAUAAAUGAAACCAUUUGAACUAGUGUUAGCAGUGAAAUGUAUUAGUAGGAUAAUAUGAACACCAUUUUCCUGUAAUGUAAAUCAUGGUGUUGGACUCUUUAGAUUAAUGCAAGUUUGCACACUUUAGAUAAGUACGAUAAUGUGAUGAGUUGAAAAUUUAAGAAGAAGUGAUAAAGUACGGAAAUGUGAAGUAUGUGUAGUUGACUGGUUACGAACGGGUCAAGGUGAUGUAGAAAGCAUAAUAAGAGAAUUGUAUAAAUAAGUGACUCAUUGUAACGGGUCGCAAUGGAUGAAAUUAUGAUGAUGAUGAUGAAAUGGUAUGUAUUGACCCGUUAUGGACGGGUCGAUUAAGACAACACAUAAUGGGCUAUCAUAAUAGUCAAAACCUUAACCCUAUAUGAACAGGUUGGGUGGACUAUAUGUUUGAUUUAAAGAAAUGUUGUACUUAAAACUAGGACAUUACUAAUGAAUAAAUGAUGAAGCAGGUUUCGGGGACGAAACCCUCUUUAAGAGGGGUAGACUUGUAACACCCCAAAAAAUUUGUAAGUCAUAAUAUAAAAUUUUUAUAUUAUGUUGACGCAAUUAGAAAAGAAAAUGGUAAAUAUAAUUUUACCAUAUGAAAGUAAAUAAGAUACUAGUAAGUAUAUGUGGGUAAGUAAGAUAUUGUAAAUAACCAAGUUAACUAAGUUAGAGGAUGGAUGAAAAUAGUCAUGUUAUGAGAAAUAAAUGGGUUAGUUAUGUUAAAAAUGAAAGAAAGUUUGAUUAAACAAGGAAAAAAAAUGCAGAAUUUUCAUAAGUAAGUAGGUAUGUGUCGUGGGGUUGAAAGGGGAUUUAGGGUUCUCACCUAAAUCCAUCAUCAACACAAGAAUUCUGCAUAAAUUGGGGUGAUUUGAGCUGGAAAUCGAGUGCAUGAGACAUCAUCUACACUUGUCUAAGUGUCCUUGAGGUAAGGAACGUGUCAAGGAGAGCUCAAGCAUAGGAGGAUAACAGGUCAAGAUAAGGCAAGGUGACAAAUACACUUAUUGGAGUGCUCAAGGUAAGUGAUUUCCAGAAUCACUUCUUAUCUUAUAAAUAAAGUUUUGAUAUGUUAAACGUAGGAAAUCAUGUGAGAAAUUAUGAGAAGGAGCAAGUACUAAGGUAUAUAUUAAUGAGGUAAGUCGUAAGAAGUUAUUUGUGCUUGGAAUUACAAGAUAGAAGGGAACGGGUCAAUAAUAAAGAAAGAAACAUGGCGUAAUGUGGUAGUUAGUUUGAUCAUGUGGUUAUACGUUAGAAAGAUUUAGGAGUUUGUAUAUGAUUAUUUUACAUAUUGGAAGCGUGAAAAACGGAGAAGAAAGAAGUUCGGGUGUCUAACGGUUGUAUACGAAUGUAAAAAUAGAGAAAAAAGGUUGGCUGAACUAGGCUCUACCGUAGCUUACGGUAGCCACCGUAAGCAACGGUAGGUACUGAUGGUCAUUUCUCCACCGUAAGGCAGUAUAAAGGCACCGUAGGCUUUUGUGUGCCACCGUAAGCUACGGUAGUCACCGUAGCUUACGUGGAGGUCAGGUUCAGAUGUAAAGUUUGUGUAUAUUCAUUUUCUUUGAAUUUGGACCCCGAGAACCCAUUUCAAGUCCCGUUAAACUUCUAUAAUGUACCUUAACCCUAUUAAAUGGCUUGGUGAGUUAAGGAUGAAUAUAUAACUCAUUUUAAGAUUUCCGCAAUGUACCCGAAAGUUAUUUAAAAAGCGUUUAUGAAUUGCGAGUAAUAAUGGAAUGUGUAAGCGAGUAUGUGGAGGAAUGAAUUAAGUAUGUGGGUAUAUAUGUAUAGGAUUAAUUUCAUACCAAUAGCCGGGACUUAUAAUAAUCAUGAAUAGAAGUGAGUAUGCACGUAGGUUUGUAUGUACGUGACCUAUUUAUAUGGAAGUUGUAAUUAGGAUACAUUAGCAAAUCAUUUGGAAUGAUGUAAGUGGAAUGUAAGAGCUUGUACGUAUGUAUGUUAACACUCGUACUUUAGUCCUAUCUUGUAACGCUUCGUGCUUAUGUGAAAUAUAUUAUUUAAGGAUGUGUUUAUUAUGUGCAUUGUGUAAUAUGUGUAUGUAUGUAUGUUAAUCGAGCCCAAACCACACAAACCGCACAACCAUCACUCGAUCGCACAUGGCCAUUGGGCCAUAUUGUUUGCACACGGACCAAAAGGGCAGCCCAUGAUUGGGUUCGGCCCACCCAUCUUACACGCAUAACACUUGGUGUGUUUGUAAUCCUCUCAUAUUUGCAAAACACUAUCACACACAAAACCCUAGCUCUCCUCUCUCUCUCUCUCUCUCUCACGAACCGAAGGCAGCCAAACAUCAUCCUCAUCGAAGUUCAUAGGGUUCGGACCAUUCUGUUGUUCGGAU